This 87-nucleotide transfer RNA is filed under the name Chloroflexota bacterium. Its description in RNAcentral is "tRNA-Ser". It matches the Rfam family "tRNA". From Rfam's summary of the family: Transfer RNA (tRNA) molecules are approximately 80 nucleotides in length. The record is from RNAcentral. Lineage: Bacteria; Bacillati; Chloroflexota.
GGAGGGAUGGCAGAGUGGACGAUUGCGCCAGUCUUGAAAACUGGUAUACCUGCAAGGGUAUCGUGGGUUCGAAUCCCACUCCCUCCG